CUAUAUCAAUAAGCGGAGGAAAAGAAACCAACCGGGAUUGCCUCAGUAACGGCGAGUGAAGCGGCAAGAGCUCAAAUUUGAAAGCUGGCUCCUUCGGAGUCCGCAUUGUAAUUUGCAGAGGAUGCUUUGGGUGCGGCCCCCGUCUAAGUGCCCUGGAACGGGCCGUCAGAGAGGGUGAGAAUCCCGUCUUGGGCGGGGUGUCCGUGCCCGUGUAAAGCUCCUUCGACGAGUCGAGUUGUUUGGGAAUGCAGCUCUAAAUGGGUGGUAAAUUUCAUCUAAAGCUAAAUACUGGCCGGAGACCGAUAGCGCACAAGUAGAGUGAUCGAAAGAUGAAAAGCACUUUGAAAAGAGAGUUAAACAGCACGUGAAAUUGUUGAAAGGGAAGCGCUUGCGACCAGACUCGCCCGCGGGGUUCAGCCGGCAUUCGUGCCGGUGUACUUCCCCGUGGGCGGGCCAGCGUCGGUUUGGGCGGCCGGUCAAAGGCCCCUGGAAUGUAGUACCCUCCGGGGUACCUUAUAGCCAGGGGUGCAAUGCGGCCAGCCUGGACCGAGGAACGCGCUUCGGCACGGACGCUGGCAUAAUGGUCGUAAACGACCCGUCUUGAAACACGGACCAAGGAGUCUAACAUCUACGCGAGUGUUCGGGUGUCAAACCCGUGCGCGCAGUGAAAGCGAACGGAGGUGGGAGCCCCCUCGCGGGGCGCACCAUCGACCGAUCCUGAUGUCUUCGGAUGGAUUUGAGUAAGAGCGUAAAUGUGGGGACCCGAAAGAUGGUGAACUAUGCCUGAAUAGGGCGAAGCCAGAGGAAACUCUGGUGGAGGCUCGCAGCGGUUCUGACGUGCAAAUCGAUCGUCAAAUUUGGGUAUAGGGGCGAAAGACUAAUCGAACCAUCUAGUAACUGGUUCCUGCCGA
RNAcentral lists this ribosomal RNA (911 nucleotides) under Aspergillus tubingensis. Its description in RNAcentral is "LSU rRNA". It matches the Rfam family "Eukaryotic large subunit ribosomal RNA", at positions 38 to 964 of the family's 3401-position model. Lineage: Eukaryota; Fungi; Ascomycota; Eurotiomycetes; Eurotiales; Aspergillaceae. The record is from RNAcentral.